CGCCUGCGUCACUUCCGUCCAGGCCGGAACCCAAGAUGGCUGCGCUCUUGCUGAGACAUGUUGGCCGUCAUUGUCUCCGAGCUCACCUUAGUCCUCAGCUGUGUAUCCGAAAUGCUGUUCCCCUGGGGACCACAGCCAAAGAAGAGAUGGAGCGGUUCUGGAAUAAGAACACAAGUUCAAACCGUCCUUUAUCUCCCCAUAUCUCUAUCUACGGUGCAUGAGGGCUCCAGUU
Non-coding RNA from Microcebus murinus (gray mouse lemur), 232 nucleotides. The record is from RefSeq and is a predicted model, not a curated record. Lineage: Eukaryota; Metazoa; Chordata; Mammalia; Primates; Cheirogaleidae.